ACAAUGGGGGAAACCCUGAUGCAGCGACGCCGCGUGAGUGAAGAAGUAUUUCGGUAUGUAAAGCUCUAUCAGCAGGGAAGAAAUACUGACCAUAGGGUCAGCAGACGGUACUUGACUAAGAAGCCCCGGCUAACUACGUGCCAGCAGCCGCGGUAAUACGUAGGGGGCAAGCGUUAUCCGGAUUUACUGGGUGUAAAGGGAGCGUAGACGGCAGCGCAAGUCUGAAGUGAAAUGCCAGGGCUUAACCCUGGAACUGCUUUGGAAACUGUGCAGCUAGAGUGCAGGAGAGGUAAGUGGAAUUUCUAGUGUAGCGGUGAAAUGCGUAGAUAUUAGGAGGAACACCAGUGGCGAAGGCGGCUUACUGGACUGUAACUGACGUUGAGGCUCGAAAGCGUGGGGAGCAAACAGGAUUAGAUACCCUGGUAGUCCACGCUGUAAACGAUGAUUACUAGGUGUUGGGGACCAAGGUUCUUCG
This 475-nucleotide ribosomal RNA is filed under the name uncultured bacterium. Its description in RNAcentral is "bacterial SSU rRNA". It matches the Rfam family "Bacterial small subunit ribosomal RNA", at positions 368 to 842 of the family's 1533-position model. The record is from RNAcentral.